This 515-nucleotide ribosomal RNA is filed under the name bacterium symbiont of Megymenum gracilicorne. RNAcentral describes it as "bacterial SSU rRNA". It matches the Rfam family "Bacterial small subunit ribosomal RNA", at positions 527 to 1041 of the family's 1533-position model. The record is from RNAcentral.
GGAGGGUGCAAGCGUUAAUCGGAAUUACUGGGCGUAAAGCGCACGCAGGCGGUCUGUCAAGUCGGAUGUGAAAUCCCCGGGCUUAACCUGGGAACUGCAUUCGAAACUGGCAGGCUAGAGUCUUGUAGAGGGGGGUAGAGUUCCAGGUGUGGCGGUGAAAUGCGUAGAGAUCUGGAGGAAUACCGGUGGCGAAGGCGGCCCCCUGGACAAAGACUGACGCUCAGGUGCGAAAGCGUGGGGAGCAAACAGGAUUAGAUACCCUGGUAGUCCACGCCGUAAACGAUGUCGACUUGGAGGUUGUUCCCUUGAGGAGUGGCUUCCGGAGCUAACGCGUUAAGUCGACCGCCUGGGGAGUACGGCCGCAAGGUUAAAACUCAAAUGAAUUGACGGGGGCCCGCACAAGCGGUGGAGCAUGUGGUUUAAUUCGAUGCAACGCGAAGAACCUUACCUACUCUUGACAUCCAGAGAACUUAGCAGAGAUGCUUUGGUGCCUUCGGGAACUCUGAGACAGGUGC